This 895-nucleotide ribosomal RNA is filed under the name Plantibacter sp. RNAcentral's name for it is "bacterial SSU rRNA". It matches the Rfam family "Bacterial small subunit ribosomal RNA", at positions 537 to 1429 of the family's 1533-position model. Lineage: Bacteria; Bacillati; Actinomycetota; Actinomycetes; Micrococcales; Microbacteriaceae. The record is from RNAcentral.
AGCGUUGUCCGGAAUUAUUGGGCGUAAAGAGCUCGUAGGCGGUUUGUCGCGUCUGCUGUGAAAUCCCGAGGCUCAACCUCGGGUCUGCAGUGGGUACGGGCAGACUAGAGUGCGGUAGGGGAGAUUGGAAUUCCUGGUGUAGCGGUGGAAUGCGCAGAUAUCAGGAGGAACACCGAUGGCGAAGGCAGAUCUCUGGGCCGCUACUGACGCUGAGGAGCGAAAGGGUGGGGAGCAAACAGGCUUAGAUACCCUGGUAGUCCACCCCGUAAACGUUGGGCGCUAGAUGUGGGGACCAUUCCACGGUUUCCGUGUCGUAGCUAACGCAUUAAGCGCCCCGCCUGGGGAGUACGGCCGCAAGGCUAAAACUCAAAGGAAUUGACGGGGGCCCGCACAAGCGGCGGAGCAUGCGGAUUAAUUCGAUGCAACGCGAAGAACCUUACCAAGGCUUGACAUAUACGAGAACGGGCCAGAAAUGGUCAACUCUUUGGACACUCGUAAACAGGUGGUGCAUGGUUGUCGUCAGCUCGUGUCGUGAGAUGUUGGGUUAAGUCCCGCAACGAGCGCAACCCUCGUUCUAUGUUGCCAGCACGUAAUGGUGGGAACUCAUGGGAUACUGCCGGGGUCAACUCGGAGGAAGGUGGGGACGACGUCAAAUCAUCAUGCCCCUUAUGUCUUGGGCUUCACGCAUGCUACAAUGGCCAGUACAAAGGGCUGCAAUACCGUAAGGUGGAGCGAAUCCCAAAAAGCUGGUCCCAGUUCGGAUUGAGGUCUGCAACUCGACCUCAUGAAGUCGGAGUCGCUAGUAAUCGCAGAUCAGCAACGCUGCGGUGAAUACGUUCCCGGGCCUUGUACACACCGCCCGUCAAGUCAUGAAAGUCGGUAACACCCGAAGCCA